RNAcentral lists this ribosomal RNA (253 nucleotides) under uncultured bacterium. RNAcentral's name for it is "partial 16S ribosomal RNA". It matches the Rfam family "Bacterial small subunit ribosomal RNA", at positions 524 to 776 of the family's 1533-position model. The record is from RNAcentral.
GACGUAGGGGGCCAGCGUUGUUCGGAAUUACUGGGUGUAAAGGGUUCGUAGGCGGUGUGGCAAGUCGGGCGUGAAAUCUCUGGGCUUAACCGGGGAACUGCGUCUGAUACUGGAUGGCUAGAGGUUGGGAGAGGGAUGCGGAAUUCCAGGUGUAGCGGUGAAAUGCGUAGAUAUCUGGAGGAACACCGGUGGCGAAGGCGGCAUCCUGGACCAAUUCUGACGCUGAGGAGCGAAAGCCAGGGGAGCAAACGGG